This 292-nucleotide ribosomal RNA is filed under the name uncultured bacterium. RNAcentral describes it as "partial 16S ribosomal RNA". It matches the Rfam family "Bacterial small subunit ribosomal RNA", at positions 505 to 796 of the family's 1533-position model. The record is from RNAcentral.
GUGCCAGCCGCCGCGGUAAAACGUAGGACGCGAGCGUUAUCCGGAGUUACUGGGCGUAAAGCGCGGGCAGGCGGUCUGACAAGUCUGAUGUGAAAUCACCCAGCUUAACUGGGCGAGGCCAUUGGAAACUGACAGGCUGGAGGGCAGUAGAGGUAGGCGGAAUUCCGGGUGGAGUGGUGAAAUGCGUAGAGAUCCGGAGGAACACCAGAGGCGAAGGCGGCCUACUGGGCUGCACCUGACGCUGAGCCGCGAAAGCCAGGGGAGCGAACGGGAUUAGAAACCCUGGUAGUCC